RNAcentral lists this long non-coding RNA (225 nucleotides) under Mytilus galloprovincialis (Mediterranean mussel). The record is from RNAcentral. Lineage: Eukaryota; Metazoa; Mollusca; Bivalvia; Mytilida; Mytilidae.
CCGGGCAACGGUUCGAAUCCCGUGCAACUAAGGUUGAUUUAUAUAAUAUUAAAUAACUUAAUAUUAAAUAACUUAUUUAAUAUUAAUUCAUAAUUAAAUAACUUAUUUAAUAUUAAAUAACUUAAUAUUAAAUAACUUAACUUAACUUCAAUUUCAAUUUCUAAAACACAAGAUGUCAUAGUUUUUGUAUUUUCCCUCAUGUUUUAAUGUUGUCUUACUUUCUUU